GACGAACGCUGGCGGCGUGCCUAAUACAUGCAAGUUGAGCGCUGAAGGUUGGUACUUGUACCAACUGGAUGAGCAGCGAACGGGUGAGUAACGCGUGGGGAAUCUGCCUUUGAGCGGGGGACAAAAUUUGGAAACGAAUGCUAAUACCGCAUAAAAACUUUAAACACAAGUUUUAAGUUUGAAAGAUGCAAUUGCAUCACUCAAAGAUGAUCCCGCGUUGUAUUAGCUAGUCGGUGAGGUAAAGGCUCACCAAGGCGAUGAUACAUAGCCGACCUGAGAGGGUGAUCGGCCACAUUGGGACUGAGACACGGCCCAAACUCCUACGGGAGGCAGCAGUAGGGAAUCUUCGGCAAUGGACGAAAGUCUGACCGAGCAACGCCGCGUGAGUGAAGAAGGCUUUCGGAUCGUAAAACUCUGUUGGUAGAGAAGAACGUUGGUGAGAGUGGAAAGCUCAUCAAGUGACGGUAACUACCCAGAAAGGGACGGCUAACUACGUG
Molecule: ribosomal RNA, 497 nt
Filed under: uncultured bacterium
Lineage: Bacteria
Description: partial 16S ribosomal RNA
Rfam family: Bacterial small subunit ribosomal RNA
Source: RNAcentral